AUGAUUUUUUAAAGCGAGUCGAGCGUUAAGCGAGGCUUGUGAAGAUAUUUAAAACCCCACUCUUUAACUUCAAAAAAUAAAUCAUGAUACAUGAAUUUAAAAAAAGA
Molecule: unclassified non-coding RNA, 107 nt
Filed under: uncultured Funneliformis
Lineage: Eukaryota; Fungi; Glomeromycota; Glomeromycetes; Glomerales; Glomeraceae
Description: sequence contains ITS1
Source: RNAcentral